AGUAACACUGUGACUAAUCUACCCUCGAGUGGGGAAUAACGUGAGAGAAAUCUUAGCUAAUACCUGAUAACACUUACGAGUCAAAGCAGCAAUGCGCUUGGGGAGGAGGUCGCGGCGAUUAGCUAGUUGGUGGGGUAAUGGCCCACCAAGGCGAUGAUCGGUAUCCGGCCUGAGAGGGCGCACGGACACACUGGAACUGAAACACGGUCCAGACUCCUACGGGAGGCAGCAGUGGGGAAUUUUGCGCACUGGGGGAAACCCUGACGCAAAGCCGGUUGGAGGAUGACCGUAUCUUGGUACGUAAACUCCUUUCGAUGGGGAAGAUAACUGACGGUAACCCAUAGGAAGAAGCCCCGGCUAACUUACGUGCCAGCAGCCGCGGUAAUACGAGGGGGGCGAGCGUUGUUCGGAAUUAUUGGGCGUAAAGGGUGCGUAGCGGUUUUGUAAGUCUUAUGUGAAAUCUAUGGGCUCAAUCAUAGAUGCAUGAGAAACUGCAGGGCUUUGAC
Molecule: ribosomal RNA, 506 nt
Filed under: uncultured bacterium
Lineage: Bacteria
Description: bacterial SSU rRNA
Rfam family: Bacterial small subunit ribosomal RNA
Source: RNAcentral